Molecule: ribosomal RNA, 380 nt
Filed under: Rhodococcus (subgen. Prescottella) equi
Lineage: Bacteria; Bacillati; Actinomycetota; Actinomycetes; Mycobacteriales; Nocardiaceae
Description: Prescottella equi bacterial SSU rRNA
Rfam family: Bacterial small subunit ribosomal RNA
Source: RNAcentral
AACUCGGAGGAAGGUGGGGACGACGUCAAGUCAUCUGCCCCUAUGUCCAGGGCUCAAACAUGCUUACAAUGGGCCGGUACAGAGGGCUGCGAUACCGUGAGGUGGAGCGAAUCCCUUAAAGCCGGUCUCAGUUCGGAUCGGGGUCUGCAACUCGACCCCGUGAAGUCGGAGUCGCUAGUAAUCGCAGAUCAGCAACGCUGCGGUGAAUACGUUCCGGGCCUUGUACACACCGCCCGUCACGUCAUGAAGUCGGUAACACCCGAAGCCGGUGGCCUAACCCUUGUGGAGGGAGCCGUCGAAGGUGGGAUCGGCGAUGGGACGAAGUCGUAACAAGGUAGCCGUACCGGAAGGUGCGGCUGGAUCACCUCCUUUCUAAGGAG